CUACGGGCGGCUCCAGUAGGGAAUAUUGGGCAAUGGACGCAAGUCUGACCCAGCCAUGCCGCGUGCAGGAUUGACGGCCCUAUGGGUUGUAAACUGCUUUUCUGCAGGAAGAAUUCCCCGUACGUGUACGGGGUUGACGGUACUGCAGGAAUAAGCAUCGGCUAACUCCGUGCCAGCAGCCGCGGUAAUACGGAGGAUGCAAGCGUUAUCCGGAUUUAUUGGGUUUAAAGGGUGCGCAGGCGGAUUAAUAAGUCAGCGGUGAAAUCCUACAGCUUAACUGUAGAACUGCCUUUGAUACUGUGAGUCUUGAGUGCAGUUGAAGUAGGCGGAAUGUGUCAUGUAGCAGUGACAUGCUUAGAUAUGACACAGAACACCAAUCGUGAAGACAGCUUACUAAGCUGCUACUGACGCUCAUGCACGAAAGCGUGGGGAGCGAACAGGAUUAGAUACCCCGGUAGUC
Molecule: ribosomal RNA, 460 nt
Filed under: uncultured bacterium
Lineage: Bacteria
Description: partial 16S ribosomal RNA
Rfam family: Bacterial small subunit ribosomal RNA
Source: RNAcentral